CACGCCCUAAACGAUGUCUACUAGUUGUUGGGGUAGCAAUACCUCAGUGACGCAGCUAACGCGUGAAGUAGACCGCCUGGGGAGUACGGUCGCAAGAUUAAAACUCAAAGGAAUUGACGGGGGCCCGCACAAGCGGUGGAUUAUGUGGAUUAAUUCGAUGCAACGCGAAAAACCUUACCUGGCCUUGACAUGCCACUAACGAAGCAGAGAUGCAUUAGGUGCCCGAAAGGGAAAGUGGACACAGGUGC
Molecule: ribosomal RNA, 248 nt
Filed under: uncultured bacterium
Lineage: Bacteria
Also listed under: 1 other name
Description: partial 16S ribosomal RNA
Rfam family: Bacterial small subunit ribosomal RNA
Source: RNAcentral